AGGAAAGACAGUUAGUGACUUCCAUGCUGGGUCCUAAGGAUGACUUCCCUCUCCAGCCAAGUCCCUAUUGCUGAAGACACCACACUUGCAAUAUAGGACAUGGAGGAUCCGAGCUGGAUCUGACCUGAGGACUAACUUCCAUAGUCUCAGAAGUGCUAUGCCAGCUGUUGAGGACAGAAAGCAACCAACAGCCCUACUUAGCUGUGAAGUUUAUGAACCUCAUUGACCAGCAUGGCAAGAUAGCCUUAAGGGUGGCAUUUAUAUCUUCUCAGUAACCAACAGCUACCUCAUUGGACCCAAGGCCCACUUAACAAGAGGGAAACCUAGCUAAUUCCCCGAGUGAGGUCAUGAGCCUUAGAGGAGAACCUAACCACCACUUCACUAAAACAGACUAAUUCCUAAGAACAUUCUAAAUACUUACUCUUUUUUUUUUUAAGACUUAUUUAUUUAUAUAUAUGAGUACACUGUCACUGUCUUCAGACAUACUAAAAUAGGGCAUCAGAUCCCAUUACAGAUGUUUGUGAGCCACCAUGUGGGUGCUAGGAAUUGAACUCAGGACCUCUGGGAGAACAUUCAGUGCUCUUAACCACUGAGCCAUCUCUCCAGUCCCGAAAUACUUAUUCUUCUCCCCAAAGAUAAAUGUAGCUUCCAAGGCUUACCAAAGAAGCCUCUCUUUGCAACAGACUGGUCAAAAUCUAGAGAGCAACUGAUUGUCGGGUACCCAACCCCAAGAGAUACAUCUACAGGAUAACUCGCACACCCAAGGCUCAGGAACAUCAUGGAAGAAGGGUAGACAAAUUGUAAGAGCCAGAGGACCAGGAUGUUUGCUGAGAGACUGUGCCUCCUAGAAGUAGUACAGAAGCGUCUUCCAGGACACCUCAACAGCGUGGCUGCCCAAACAAGACUUGAACAACUCUAGAUGAAGAACUACCGGCAACUAACAAUUGUGCAAGAAGGGGAAAGAGUCUUCCCUGGGGACGAGCCCCCAAUUAGUCAUCCAACACCAGUGGUCAGCCCUGAAAUCAUGUAUAUAAGCAACGCUGAACAGACUCAGCAGGUAAUAUUUAUGUGUUUAUGCAUACACACACAGAGAGAGACAUAUAUAUGGAAAAGGCCAGGAAUUUAAGAGUAGAGUACUAUGCAGCACUGAAGAAUGAAGCUGGAGUAUAUGCUCUGGCAUUACAAGAAUGGCUGUGAUGUGCUUUUAAGCUGCAGAGCAGUAUGUAUGGAUCAAUUCUGCUUUUGG
This 1246-nucleotide long non-coding RNA is filed under the name Mus pahari (shrew mouse). Its description in RNAcentral is "lncRNA (MGP_PahariEiJ_G0006046.1)". The record is from RNAcentral. Lineage: Eukaryota; Metazoa; Chordata; Mammalia; Rodentia; Muridae.